RNA transcript from Gopherus evgoodei (Goodes thornscrub tortoise), 8045 nucleotides. It is a transcript of the gene named WD repeat domain 20, with no coding region annotated. The transcript is spliced from 5 exons. Lineage: Eukaryota; Metazoa; Chordata; Testudines; Testudinidae. The record is from RefSeq and is a predicted model, not a curated record.
CGCAGUGGGGGCACAUCCGGGCAUUGGGGCAGGAUGAAUGCUCCUUUCCAAGAUGGCGGCGGAGGGAGGAGGGAAGGAGAUGAACGAGAUUAAGACCCAGUUCACCACCCGGGAGGGGCUGUACAAGCUGCUGAGCCACUCGGAGUACAGCCGGCCCAACCGGGUGCCCUUCAACUCGCAGGGCUCCAACCCAGUCCGUGUCUCCUUCGUCAACGUCAACGACCAGAGCGGCAACGGCGACCGGCUCUGCUUCAAUGUGGGCCGGGAGCUCUACUUCUACAUCUACAAGGGGGUCCGCAAGGCUGCUGACUUGAGUAAACCAAUAGACAAAAGGAUAUACAAAGGAACGCAACCUACGUGUCAUGACUUCAAUCACUUAACAGCCACAGCAGAAAGUGUCUCUCUACUAGUGGGUUUCUCUGCAGGCCAGGUCCAACUUAUAGACCCUAUUAAAAAAGAAACUAGCAAAUUAUUUAAUGAGGAAAGACUAAUAGACAAGUCCAGAGUAACCUGUGUAAAAUGGGUACCAGGUUCGGAAAGCCUUUUCCUAGUAGCUCAUUCCAGUGGAAAUAUGUACUUAUAUAAUGUGGAGCACACUUGUGGUACCACAGCCCCACACUACCAGCUACUUAAGCAAGGAGAAGGUUUUGCAGUCCACACUUGCAAGAGUAAAUCCACAAGAAAUCCUCUACUUAAAUGGACCGUAGGCGAGGGUGCCCUGAAUGAAUUUGCUUUUUCCCCCGAUGGGAAAUUUUUGGCAUGUGUGAGCCAAGAUGGCUUUCUUCGUGUGUUUAACUUUGAUUCAGUGGAGUUACAUGGUACAAUGAAAAGCUACUUUGGGGGACUACUAUGUGUGUGUUGGAGCCCAGAUGGGAAAUACAUUGUAAUAGGUGGAGAGGAUGACUUGGUAACGGUUUGGUCUUUUGUGGACUGUCGAGUAAUAGCUAGAGGCCACGGACAUAAAUCAUGGGUUAGUGUUGUGGCAUUUGACCCAUAUACCACUAGUGUAGAAGAGAGUGACCCAAUGGAAUUUAGUGGUAGUGAUGAGGAUUUCCAAGACCUUCUUCAUUUUGGUAGAGAUCGAGCAAAUAGUACACAAUCUAGGUUAUCAAAAAGGAACUCUACAGACAGUCGUCCAGUAAGUGUUACGUAUAGGUUUGGUUCUGUAGGCCAAGACACACAACUCUGUUUGUGGGACCUUACAGAAGAUAUUCUCUUCCCUCACCAACCUCUAUCAAGAGCAAGGACACACACAAAUGUUAUGAAUGCCACAAGUCCACCUGCAGGAAGUGGUGGAACUAAUUCAGGAAGUAAUGGGAACAGUAUCACAACACCUGGAAACUCAGUUCCUCCUCCUCUUCCACGGUCAAACAGCCUUCCACAUUCUGCAGUCUCAAAUGCCGGCAGUAAAAGCAGUGUCAUGGAUGGUGCCAUUGCUGCUGGUGUUAGUAAGUUUGCAACCUUAUCGCUACAUGAUCGGAAAGAAAGACACCAUGAAAAAGAUCACAAGAGAAAUCAUAGCAUGGGACAUAUAUCUAGCAAGAGCAGUGACAAACUGAACCUAGUUACUAAAACCAAAACAGACCCAGCUAAAACUUUGGGAACACCUCUCUGUCCCAGAAUGGAAGAUGUUCCCUUGUUAGAGCCUCUUAUCUGUAAAAAGAUAGCACAUGAAAGACUGACUGUGUUAAUUUUUCUUGAAGACUGUAUAGUCACUGCUUGUCAGGAGGGAUUUAUUUGCACAUGGGCAAGGCCUGGUAAAGUGUAGGGGUUCCUGGAUACUUGGAUCCAAGCAAGAAAGAGCUCCUAUAGACUCUGAAGAUGUCACUAAUUCUGCAUUCCUAUUGUUAGUUGCAUCUGAUCUUGUCUAGCUUGAUGGAUCUGAGUCACAGGAACACAAUUUAGAGGGUUUAUUGUCAUCCCAAAACCAGGCCAAUUCUCCAAGUGGAACUGUAGUAUAGCCAUCACACUACUGCUAGCGAAUCUUUGAACACAGGACAAGAAGUAAUGACAGUGGAACCAGGAGCUGUUCUUCAUGCAGAGAGCAUCAGAAAUUAUAAAAUGGCAGAGUGUAAACUUGGAAUUAUGUGAAUCACAUAAUACUUUGCAAAAGAAUAAUGUAAUGAAUUCUUAGUAUGGCUAAUACUUCUAGGCUGCUCACCCAAAGAAGAAUUUUCCUUUUAAAAAAGAAAUGCUACAUUUGGUGUUGCAGUAAAAAUUAUUUUUUCUCAGUUUUUUCUUUAUACUUUUCCAGUUUGGUGUAAUUUAAUCUAUAUAUAUAUAGAGAGAGAGAGAGAGAGAGAGAUGUGUAAAAUAAAGGAUGUUUCUGAAAUCCAAGUAAGUUCAAUGGUUAUAUAAAUCACCAUUGUUUGUUUUUUGCACUGAUUUUUUUUUUUUUAACCAGAGAUGGUUAGAAGACAGCCUGGAAUGCACUCAUGGAAAACUAAAGUCAUUACUUUCUGGCUUAAAAAUGUAAUUCAGGAAGAUGGAUGCUGCAAUGUUUUUUUGUUUUUGUUUUUUUUAAAUUGUUUGCACUUAAAUAGUUUAAUGCUAGUAGAGAAUUACUUUAAAAUGGGUAUUCAGAAACACAGAAAAGCUAUGUUGUGGAGAAAAGAUAUCCUUUGUAUCUAUGAAACAUUUAUUUUAAUAUUGUUUCCAAUUGCAAUCAGCUCUGUAUUAUAUGUAUAAAUGUAAUUCAAUGAUUGGGAGGAAAAUGGAUCAGUACACUAGUAAUUUUCAUCAUCUAAAAGAUAUUUCUAAUUCUGAAAAUACAUAUUAAACUAUCUUGAAUAUGCAGUUUUGUUUACGUUGUUUUAAAUUGGAUCAAUUUUUGAUGUAAUCAAUCUUUUGAAUUAAAUGUUGGGUACAGAAGUACACUCUAAUCCUUGUAAAACACAUUCCUUUUUAUUAAAACCUUUUGCAUCAGCAGAUGCAUAUUUAAUGUUGCUUAAUUGGAUUAGGGAAAUGAAAUUAGAAAUUUUCUCCUGCACUUCUUCCUAUUACAAUUUACCUCUGAAUACAUUUUCCAGACAUUAAAACCCAAUAUUUACUAAAAUAGGAGCCUCAGAUUUUUGCAGUAUAGUGAUUUCUUCUGAUGCCUUUUAAUAGUUGCAUUUUAGUGCAGUUUAAUUCUGCACUUGUCUAAAAAUUAGAUGUUUUAAUCUUAAUUGUUGAAUUGCAUUGACUUUCAAGCUAGUGCGUUUUAUGUAGACAACUAUGAUAGUGUAGUAGGUGCAUACACUUUGAUUUUUACAAUCUAAAAUUAGGUACUAAAAUAGUGGAGUAGAUUGUAUUUUGGAACAACUUGCUGUGCUAAAAAAAUCAGAUGUCCUUGCUAUCAAUUUAAAAUUUGAGGUAAAUAUAUCCAAGUAUUUUCAUAAUCUAGUGCUACUUGAUAUUGGUUGAUACUAAACUGGUUUUUAUUAGCAAAACAAAGGCCAUUUCAUCCCUUCCAGUAUUUUCUGCAAGGGGAUGAAAGGAAUGAAGAAUGCGCUACUCUGGAUCAAAAUCCAGCACAAAGGGUGAUUGAGAUGAUAUGGUGACAUCUUCUCACUUCCUCUGCCCUGCUUAAACCCCUUCCAACUCUAUUGUUGGGCUUCUUCUGAACUUUGCAGAUGUGCAGGUAGGAGGUGAUACAAGCAACAGCCUUCUUAGCUCUGCUCUGGGAUUCAUAUCCUUCAAAAUGGAAGAACUUUCCAAAAGUCAGUUUAAUGCUGAUACUGAAGGCAUGAUCUGGGCCUAAAUUACCAACAAACUUUAUCCCAGGUUCCAACAUCUUUGUAUAAAACUUGUAGUUGAACAGAAUUUUCUUUAAUCACAAGAUACUAAUACUCUACUGUCAUUUUAGAAUAAACCACAUAAUUAUACAUAGAAUUAUAGAGUUAGAAAGGGACUAUAAGGCUCAUCUAGUCUAACUUGCCAAGAAAGCAGGUUUGUUGUGUCUAAACCAUCCAAGACCAAUUGCUAUCCAGCUUCCUUUUGAAAGCCUCUAUGAAGGAGCUUCCACAACCUCCCUAGGCAAUCUGUUUCAUUGUCCUAUUGUUAGGAAGUUUUUCCUGAGAUUUAGUCUAAAUCUGUUUGCAACACUGGAGAAGCUCAAACUUUAGCAAGCCUCAUGUGGUUCUACAUAUCAGUUUUAUAAAAGUUAAAGCCUCACUCCUGCUCCCACUGAAGAUAAAUUUUGCUAUUUACUUCAAUGGAAGAAUCAUCAGACCUGUGAUUUAUGCAGUUCAGGUUUAUUUAAUCCUUGAAUAUAAACAAACCAGAUUGAAAAUGUCAGUUUAACAAUCAUUAAAAUUCUAAUUUUACCUUCCUUAUUUAAAUGUCUCCAAAUUUGAUUUAGGUAAAUAUGGAAAUAGUGACACUUGGUUGCAAUAUAUUUUAAAUUCUUAAACUGAUUUUUAAACAUACAGUGGAGACAGAGUAUCCUAUUACCAAAUACUCUGAGCCAGUCACCUUCUGGGUUGUAUUCAGAUCACUAACCAAAUUAGAAAAGACAAAGUUGUUACCGUCUGGCAACCAUUCACUGGUCUAUGUAAAAUGGGCUGGUCUGUGGAUAGCUUUCUUUUAUCAUGACUAACAUUGAUUGGCAUAGAAACAAAGCACUGAAUAGAAACCAAUUUUCUGUCCAUCUUCUGUAAAGGUACUUUGUUUAGAAGAAACUCCUCUUUCCCCAUGUUUAGAAACUUUCAAGGCUGCACCCAAGUCAAAUUCUUUUGCUAAAUAGACUUCAUUUCUUGGUUUUGUUAUUCCCGCACCCUUCACACACCUUGUAGGUAAGAAGUAGACUUGAAAAUAUCACCCUUUCCCUAAAUUAUAUUUUUUAUUCUGACCAUGUUCUGUGAACAUAACAAGCACUUAAAAUAAGGGUGUCAGUCUGUCCUGUUUUCAAGCUGUAAGACUCAUACUUGAAUGAAACUGAUUAUCAUUUUGUCUCAAAACAAGCUUCAAGAAGCAAAGUAACUAGAACAAACAGUUUAAAUACUAUAUUGUUGGGUCAAGUACUUGCAAAAAUUGAUGCCCAAAAGAACUAUUUACAUGUAAUUUUAAAAAAUCCUAUGGGGAGUUUGAAAAUGAAUUGGCUUUCCACCCAAACAUUGCAGAAUUGGACUACUUGCCUGAGAAUUCGAAAGUGAAAUUGACUAGAAAUCAGAAGUGAAUAGAGUAGGUAGUUUUAAACUGACAUGCAAAAAAGUAAACAGCAUAAAUACAGUCACUUUAAUUUGUCCUAUUGCCCUAUUCCAAGUGCUCUGGUAUUCAGAAUAUUAUUUUACAUUUGCACGCAGAGACAAGUAGUCUUAAACCUGAAAUAUUGAAUAUAGUUUUAAUGAUAAAAGGAAUUCUUCAGUGAAAGUGUGGUCACUUGAAAAGAUCUACCUAUUUAAGACUUAUUCAGCAAAACACUUAUGAGCAUAUUUAAUUUGAAGAGACUGGAGCAUGUGCUUAAAAUUAAGCACAUGGGUAAUCAAUCCCUGCUCAACAAAGCACUCAUCACUCUUACCAUGGAAGGAACCCAGUCCUGCACGCCUCAUUCAGAAUGAUCCCAGGAAAUACGCCUUUUACAAAUCUGCUGUUUAACAACAAUUCUAAAGUCAGAUCAUGUAUCUUCUGGGUGUACAUGUUCAACCUCUAGUGUUGAUAAUUCGUAUACGAUACAAAAAAACAAAGCAAGCCCUAACAUUGCACAAUAAAAACAGUGAAUAUCCUAUUUGGAUGAUUUUGUAUUUUGCAUAAGUCAUGUGAUAUGAUUUAAAAUAUUUCAGUGUUUAUAUGGUGUAUUGAUCAGAACAAGACAUUCCUAAAAUUUUAGGAAAAAAAAUCCCCAGAUUUUUAAACAGGAGGAGAAAAUACAUCAUUGCAUAUUGAACACAAGUCAUUUUUUUGCACUAAAGCAAACUGAUUGCUGGAUGAGAGGAAAUUAUAGUAUGGCUUUGCUUGGCAAGCUUACUCUCUAAAAUGGCAUUGUGGGGUUCCAUGUUUCUUCGUUAAUUCCCAAUUUGCUUAUUUUACAAUUGAAGAUUUUUCUAACUCCUAACCUAACAAGCUCAAGCUGGGUUUCCCUAAAUGUUAGCACCCUUUGUAAUGGUUCUGCAAGUCCAAGUAUGCCCUAGUUAUGCAAUCCCCAGAGCUUUCAGGGUUCACAGUGACAUAAUGGACUCUAACUGGAAUUUAGUAAACAGUUCUAGAAAUAGAAUCGAGCUCCCAUUGUUGGCUGUAUUGGUUCUGGGGGUCUAAAAAGAGGUAAAAGCAUAUUGUAGUAUAUGACAAUACACAAAAUCAAAGGUGCAUUUUUACAUAUGUUCAAAUCUGAAGAGACUACACUUAAAUUUUCAUACUUGGAAAUAUGUCACUUCUGAUAACUCGUAUUCAUGCUAAAGCUAGUGAUUGCCACUCUGCCACAUUGACAAAUUGGUGAAAAAGAUAAUUUUGCAUCUGAACAAAAUGAACAAGGUUGGACUUUUAUAUAGAUGAGUCCUUUUUUAAAAAGCUGCAUAUUAAAUUGUCAGAAGUAAAACUAAUGGCUUGCACAGCUCUCUGUAUGUUAAUACAAAUUCCAGGUAGACAAAUGAAGGCAACUGCCAUGCAUAUGAAAUUAAAUAAAGCUGUUUAAAGAUUAACUAACAAAUCAAUGUUGUAUGAGUUUUAUUAGCGCUGUAGCUAAUUUGUUACCUUCCUCAGUUGAAACUUCUGAUGUUUGUAAAGCACUGUAUCUAUUUCAUAACCGCCCUUUGGGAUAUGUGUUACUUAAGCAGCUAUUUUUCAGCAGGCCCUGCCUAUUUUUUCUGGUGGUUAUAGUCAGGUAGGAGCUGUAUAUUUCACUUGCUCUAUCUAGUAGAGCUAAGAAUCACAUUGGAAUAUCCUCUUCACUUAAAUGCCCACUCAACACAGAAAUAAUGGUAUCAAAGAUGGUGAUGUUUUCAUUGUUUAACACUGUUAAACUAGUAAGCUCACAGCAUAAGUUUGAAACACUUUCUAAAGACUGAUGUGAUAAAAUUAAGUUCUCAAGGUGACAUACUGUAGAGAAUGAUUUUCUUAAGUUACUCUUCUUGGAAGCCUCUAGUUUGGCUUUUUCAAAUAGUUUCCUUAAAUAAUGUUUAGAGCAGUGGUUUUUCAUCCUGUGGUCUCUGUAUUCCUGGGGGUCUGCAGACUAAGAUUUCCAAAGGCGUCUGCACUUCCAUUUGAAAUUUUUUAGACGUCCACAAAUGAAAGAAGGUUGAAAACCACUGAUGUAGGGUGUCCUAACAAGUUAAUCUGUUUCAAAAUGCACAACUUAAGUAACAAACCUACUAUGAAAUAGUCAUGAAAGCAGUUUGGUUUCUGGCAUACUUCUCAUUUGUAAUAAUGCUUAGCUGUGACGCAUAAUAGUAAAACCUCAUACAGAUAAUUUCCUGUAAAAUUCCAUGUUUUCUUUUGGAAUGGGAGUGUUACAUGAAAGUAAGUGGUUUACUUAAAUUAUUUAGAAUCACCUUGAGAAAAAACAGCUCUUAGUUAAUUUCAUUUGAUUGUUUCCUAUCUCUUGACACUAGUAGAUUGCUGCUGUGAACUCUGAUCUACAGCAUGAACUUGAAAGAGUAGGACAGAUGUAAGACUUUUAGAACCUGGAGAGACUGUGCUGUUCAUGUCAAAUGGUGAUCAACUUUAUUUUUCAAUUUGAUCUUCUAAUGAGCAGCCUGUAGUGAAAUUUUGCAGCAGAUCAAAUGUUCUGGGGACUUGUAUCCAUCACUCUACUGAACAAGACUGUCCAGUGUAUUCAUCGAACAAGAUAAGCUCAUCAACUUUUAGAAUGUUAAUGCUCCUACAGAGUUGGCCUGUUGCUACUCUAGUUUUUACAGAAGCUUCAUUUCCUUGCUGUAAACAUAUACCUAAAGCCUUUUAUCUUUAAUGGAGAACACAAGUGCCUCUGACACUUCUGCAUUCUUUCAAUCUGACUUGAAUGCUUAACAGGAAGGUCACCCAGCUACUAUAGUAUAGUACAGGGGUAGGCAACCUGCGGCACACAAGCUGAUUUUCAGUGGCACUCACAGUGCCCAGGUCCUGGCCACCGG